UUGACCUCGGAUCAGGUAGGAAUACCCGCUGAACUUAAGCAUUU
RNAcentral lists this ribosomal RNA (44 nucleotides) under Trichoderma cf. harzianum LA-2012. Its description in RNAcentral is "partial 28S ribosomal RNA". The record is from RNAcentral. Lineage: Eukaryota; Fungi; Ascomycota; Sordariomycetes; Hypocreales; Hypocreaceae.